Neoarius graeffei (lesser salmon catfish) is the source of this 5656-nucleotide long non-coding RNA. RefSeq lists it as uncharacterized. The transcript is spliced from 2 exons. The record is from RefSeq and is a predicted model, not a curated record. NCBI's taxonomy places the organism in Eukaryota, Metazoa, Chordata, Actinopteri, Siluriformes, Ariidae.
CAUUAAGCUAUAAAGCUGAGUAAAUUCCCACUGCAUGUUGUUUUUCCAACUUUCAGUUUGAAUUCUGAAUAAAGUACUGAGACUUAAAUUCUACAUGCAGGCCAUGCAAUAAAUAAAUCUGAUCUCUUCAUGAUUUCUCACUGACCUCUUCCUGCUGGUUGCUGGGCUUGUGGGCGGGGCUGCUGUUGGAGGAAGAGGAAGUAGGUUUGAGCGGAGUGGAGGGAUGUGAGGAAGACGAGCGGCUGCUGCCGGAUGCCUGGCGGCUCAGGGAGUGAGACGACCCAGAUUCCUUCUUCUGGUACUCCUGUGGGUUCUGGAGCGCUGCGAAUAAUAAAGGCAAAAAAAUCGCACUCACAGUCAAUGUGAACUGAGAGAUUUUAACGGAGAGCUUGUCAUUUUUUAGAGCUUUCUAAUGAAUUACAAUGCAUGGACAUGCGUUUAUGUCACCCCGAACUGUCUUAUAGUUGUCAUCUGAAUGAGGGUGGAGCUUAUUUUUGGGCCUGAAAAAUGUAACAUUGCAUCCGUUUUUCUGAUGUUUCCCGACCUGUAAACACUGCACAGCAGAAUAUUUUUUCCUUAAAAUGAUGCCAAUUCCAGUUUCCUACCUGUGAGGAAGUUGCUCUGGAUGUCCAGAAGUUCCCGUAUGCUCUGUACCCACUCCUGCUUAAUGUCUAUAUUAGCGGCCUGUAGCGUUAGUCUCUCGGAUGAGCCACGGCACGAGAGCACAAACUUGCACGGGUCGCUCUCUACGUGCUGUUCCAUGCUCAGAAAGCUCACCUUAACAAAUUUAAAUUAACACACAUUAAUGCACUUAUUUGUAAUAAAGUAUGCGUUCUAGAGUAACAGGUCAGUUGUUGGACUUGUAUAAACUGAUUAAAACGUGUAAUUGUUGAUAUCGUGAAGUUUUCUGCGAAGAGAUGUUUAACACUUUGUUGCGCUUUAUAACAGUCAGAGGUAAAAUCAUAACUAUUUGUCAAUCAUGUAACCAGCUCUUCAGACUCCCCUUGAUUUCAGUACCUUGAUGCUCUUCUUAAACUGGUAUCCGGGCGUCGAGGAUCCUUUGCGAAGCAGCUCGCUGAAGAUGACGAUCUGCUCGAAGAGGAAGACUCUGCGCUCUUUACUGCGAGAGAGAACACCCGAAUCUUGCUCCGUCACAAAGAACAAAGGGUUUCUUUUUCUUUUAGAACGGCACUAAUCCAGGAGCACUGACGUUCGAAUCAGAUUUGACCCGAGAUGAUCCCCGAUGUGGACUGAACUGUUGUGUGUUGAAUUGAAAACGCAUGGCUAAAGGUUUCAGCCUCACCUCAUAGCCCUGCAACCUCCCCAAGUUCAUCAUAUCAUUGCAGCGUUUGGGCACCAAGAACAUCAGGUCAACUGCUUUCUGUAGGUGGGAAGAAUACGAGUUAAGGCUUACAGUGCAGUGAAAAGUCUUCGUACCAUAAACAUGAGGAGGGAAAAAAAAAAAAGAUUUUCAUUGCAACAAGAUAUUUGGAUCUGCCUUCGUUAUCAUGACGACAUGCUUAGCUAUGUUUACGGAAGGAGUCUCCAGUGUCUGACGCAGGAAAGUUUUUCAGGACAGAAGAAUUUACUGAAUUAAAGAUUUUUUGCAUUAUUAACUUAGAAAAUCGAGGAAUGAAUGACUGAAUCGAGCUGCUGUAAUUUUCUGCUCGGAAUGUCCUAUAACGUGAUAACAGGAACUUGUUUCAUGGACAUUCCAUAACAUUAAAUGUAACUGCAUACAGAUUGUACUGAAGUAUUACUUUUUUUAUAAUUGUUGCGGUAUAACGGGAACUAAAUAGAGAAGGUGACUUAAGUCCAGGGGCGUCGUAGUGGGGGGAAAAGGGGGACUGAUGCUGCGUUCAUGUGCUAUGGGCAUUAUGGUAAAUACCAAACGCCGACAUGGAAAGCACACAUGAACGCCCCCUCUUGUGGUAUUUUCCACUGGGCAACUCGUAGAAAAUUUUGAUACACGAGUUGCUGAGAUGAGAUGAACUUUAACCUUUUCAACAUGGUGGCGAGCGGUACAAGACACUUGAAUGUUAAGCAUUGUACGCUACUAAAGUUUUUUUUACUAGUACUAGUGGGUAGUUUUUUGUGUCUAUGCAAUGUUGUGUCAUUAACAAGUGUAAUAUAAUACGUCAGAAAUCCGUUUCCUUUAAAAAUGUGUUAUGGUUUGUUUUUACCUAUCCAGAGCAGACGCUAUUGCUAACGAUAGCUAACUAACUAUUGCUAACUUGAAUCUGGUCCACCAUCUUUAAUUUGUCAACAACAACAAAAGCAUGUGAACACAACACACUGGUAAAUACCACUUCCCAACUGGAAAAUAUCAUCUUCCCAUAGCACAUGAACGCAGCAUUGAGUUACCAGGGCCCCAAGUGGGGGGAGGGCCCUUGAGGAGUCUGUAAUUUUAAUUUUCCUUUAAAAUAUCAAUACCAUUUAAAGAUCACAAUAUAUGUUGCUAACUAAUGUAAAUGUAAUGUUUUGAGUAAAUAAAUCGUUUGAUUAAUGGAUUGAAUUGUUUGUCCUAGCCUACAUAUAGUGUCUGGGGACAGGCCCCCCCACCCUUUGCACGAAAUGGUUUAGUCCGCUUUCACCGGGCUUUUUAACUCGGCGCAUUUAACAUAGCGUUCAUUCUGCUGAAGCAGCGCUGCGCCUUGUAGGCUAUCUGUGCUAUGGAAGAUGAUGCACAAGAAAACAAAAUCCGGUUUUUAGAAACGAAAAGAGAGGCAGGAAAGAGACAAGAAAAGAAAUGAGGGAAAGCAACUGCUCACAAACUUCUUUCCCAAGAAAGGCGAGCCCAAAUGUGAAAGCAAAUAGCCUACGUUAAAUGAACACCCGCGGUUAUAAAUGCUUCAAUGCCACCGCGAUUGUCAGUGCUAAAAACUGCACAACACAAAAUUAGAAAUAACACGAUGCCUUUUUUCUCUGCAUUGCAAUAGUAUACUAAUCGAAAAUUAAAUUAUAUUGGGCCAUAACAUAAUUAGGCUAAUAUCAUUUAAAUCAUUUAACCAUCAACGUCAAGAAGACUGAAUGUAUGUAUUUUUAUUCCCAAAGGAAAAGCCUGUCCAUCUCUGUCCCUAUUACCCUUUCAAAUCAAAACCUUGUGACCACAAAAACCUAUAAAUAUCUUGGUGUGAUUUUGGAUUCACAUCUUACUUACAGAGAACACACAAUUAAGUUAGCAAGUAAAGUUAAUCAGAAGCUAUAUGUUUAUAGUAAGAUCAGACCAUAUUUGUCACCCUCAGUAUCACACACACAUUUACACGCAAUUAUUCUUUCAACAUUAUCUUAUUGUCUUCCUAUUUGGUCUCUCACUCCAAAAGAAAUCACAGAACCAAUUGCUAGAUUAUACAACAGAGCAUUUAAGAUCCACCAUCAACUUCCUAGUUGGACACAUCACUGUACCCACUCAAAUGCUCUUACUUUUCAGAACUACAUUAACACCCAUGCUAUGACAUUUUACUUUCAGCUACAAUCAAACUGUCCCAUAGCUAGUCUUGCUGUGUUCCUUCCAACAAUUAACAUGCAACAGGGGCGGACAACAAGAUCAGUAACUAGGGCACUUCUUACAGUGCCAGCCUUUAGAAACACCUAUGGCCAGCGAUCAUUCUUUCACACUUACACUAAAACAUGGAAUGAUAUUCCACAUCACAUCAGAAUAACACCAUCUAUUACGGUACUCAUUUUAAAAAGGCUUAUAUAUUUCUUUUGCUGAAUAGUUAUACUUGCAACCAGGGCUUUGAACCGGUUCAAGGAACGAAAACGAAAACCGGGAACUUUUUCUAUUUCACAUGGAACAGAAACGAAACCAGAAACUUUAUUAUUUUUUAUGUUCCGGAACAGAAACGCUUAUUAAAAAUAAUGGUAACCGGUUAAUACCGGUUUUUAUUUCGUUCCUCAAAGUUUCUGUAGCCUACAAAUAGUCAUUCUUCUCCUGCGCAAGUUUCUAUGACCCGCUGGGGUUCACUUCCUGUGUGACGUUCGCUGAUUGAAUGGAGAGAGCGGGAAGGUGGACUGCUAGUGAAUACUAGGUGAAUUACUGAGUGUCUGAGCAAAGAAGAGCCUGAACGAUGCAACCUCCCUAUUGGCUGUUUGUAAAAAUGUAUCAGUUGUUGCCCCUCCCACGGGAAUCAUCGCGGGCUCGAGAGACGAGACCUGACGAGUUAGUUCGUUGGUAGCAGAACAAAAUGUCUGGACACAAAUCGGGUUUUCAGAAAAGGAAAGAAAAUAAACGGAGGGUCGAAAAUACAAAAAAGGAGGCAGAAAAUGCAAAACGAGUUUUAAGAUAGGACAAAUGGUUACUUUUUAAGGCAGCCCGCCGUGGCUGCAGGCCUUCAGUUGUCACUGAAUGGUUACUUUUCUGAGGCAGCCCGCCGUGGCUGCCUGCAGGCUCAUUUAUUAUAGCCCAUUUAGUUAAAAUAGUUGAUAUAAAAUGUUUAUAGUUAUAGUUAUGUGAUGGUUGUCCUGAUUUAGACUGGUGGUUUUUUUUUGGGGGGGGGUUGCGCGAUGUUGCACCCGGGUCCAGAUUAGGGCAGAACCGGCCCUGGCUACAUUUCAGCUGUAGUUUGUUUUAUGUAUGUAUGCACUUGCAUAGAUGUGUACUUCCAAUAUGGCGCCUAACAAAAUCUCGCGGCGCGGUGACGUCAUGCGGUAGCCCUCUAUAGGGCGUGACUAGCCUUUGGUAACACACUAAACGAAUUCUCUUUCAUUUUUGGCACUUUUUCUGUUUGUGUAGAUGGGAAGACAUACUGAGAAUCCAAAUCGCCAACAUUUGAAAUAAUUGUUUUGAAUUAUUUCUUGUCUUAUUUAAUGAAGGUUGUAAUAGAAUUAGCCUACAUUUGGCUUAAGCUGGAUGAGACAGAGACAUAAUUUUAUAGCCAUUUGUUAAACAGCUGACAGGGAACGUAAUUAACCGUUCCGGGAACGAAAUUUUUUUUGUUCUAACCGGUUCGGGAACGUCUAUUUAAUGGUGGAACCCAAAACCGGAAACGUUAAAAUUCCGUUUCUGUUCGGAACGAACCAAUAGGAAAAAAAUUCUGGUUCAAAGCCCUGCUUGCAACCACUAACACAUCAUACAUACUUACACACACUGACAUUAUUCAAAACCUUAACUGAUUUAUGUCUGUGUAAUAUUGUUUACUUUUAUCCUUGUCCCACGUUUUUGUGCUGUUAUUGUACUGUAUUGUGGUGUUUAUACUUGUCAGUCUGGUGUUGGUGUCUUGUACUCCUGUUUGUUUUAUGUGCUGCAGAACAGGAACCUGCUGAAAACCAGCUGAAGCUGAGCCAGGCCCUUUAAACUGUAACUGUCUGUUACUUUUAAAAAUUCCUGUAUAAAUGAAUGAAUAGCUGGGGUAUAAAUUCCAGUGUUUAGCACUUUGUGGAAGCCGGUUUUCUUUUUGCCCUUUUUAAAAUGAAAAAUGACAAGAGAGUCAAGUUUUGUUUACCUUUCAUUCUAAAGGAAGUAUUUUGUUAAUGUUGAAAUCUGGAAAUGGCAUUUCUUUUAUGUAAUAAAUAAGCUACUUGAUAAAAAUCUGUUCUCUUCAGCCCAAUGCAAAGGUGCUCAAUUUUCAUGCAGGCCUAUUAUGUUUGGUGACCUUUGGUGGCAUUUACUGUUACAACUUUUAAUCAUUCUGCAAAUAAAACAAAGAUUCAGUGA